This 440-nucleotide ribosomal RNA is filed under the name uncultured bacterium. RNAcentral describes it as "partial 16S ribosomal RNA". It matches the Rfam family "Bacterial small subunit ribosomal RNA", at positions 338 to 795 of the family's 1533-position model. The record is from RNAcentral.
CCUACGGGUGGCAGCAGUGGGGAAUAUUGCUCAAUGGUGGAAACCCUGAAGCAGCGACGCCGCGUGAGCGAUGAAGUAUUUCGGUAUGUAAAGCCCUAUUAGUAGGGAAGAAAAUGACGGUACCUGUCUAAGAAGCACCGGCUAACUACGUGCCAGCAGCCGCGGUAAUACGCAGGGGGCAAGCGUUAUCCGGAUUUACUGGGUGUAAAGGGAGCGUAGGCGGCGGUGCAAGCCAGAUGUGAAAGCCUAGGGCUCAACCCCAGGACUGUAUUUGAAACUGUGCUGCUAGAGUGUCGGAGAGGUAGGCGGAAUUCGUGGUGUAGCGGUGAAAUGCGUAGAUAUUAGGAAGAACACCAGUGGCGAAGGCGGCCUGCUGGACGAUGACUGACGUUGAGGCUCGAAAGCGUGGGGAGCAAACAGGAUUAGAUACCCUUGUAGUC